CUUCAUCAUAUCGCGUUCCUUCGUUUUGCUGUUUGGGCUUUUGGCGUUUCCUUGCCUCUGAUAAAAACUACUCCUUUAGUUUCCGCCUAUGUAUUUUAACCUGAUAAAACUACAGCUGCGUGACUGGACAUAGAACCCCCUGAGAUUGCCUUUGCAAUGAUUGUACACUGACUCACUCUAGAAAAGAUUAUUUAAAGAGCCGAAGGUUGGAACAUCAUUUCAGGUCCAGCCUCAGGCCAACACCUCUCCUCCCCCCUUCCUCCACCCC
This is a long non-coding RNA of Struthio camelus australis, 268 nucleotides long. RefSeq lists it as uncharacterized. Lineage: Eukaryota; Metazoa; Chordata; Aves; Struthioniformes; Struthionidae. The record is from RefSeq and is a predicted model, not a curated record.